Non-coding RNA from Cricetulus griseus (Chinese hamster), 207 nucleotides. The record is from RefSeq and is a predicted model, not a curated record. NCBI's taxonomy places the organism in Eukaryota, Metazoa, Chordata, Mammalia, Rodentia, Cricetidae.
GUCUUCUGGCUCCUUCUAGGAGCUGUCCAAGAUCACGAUGCCAAUUGCCUUCAAUGAGCCCCUGAGCUUCCUGCAGCGGAUCACUGAGUACAUGGAGCAUGUGUACCUCAUUCACAAAGCCGCGAGUGAAACCCAGGCCCUGGAGAGGAUGCAGUCUGUAGCUGCCUUUGCAGUCUCGGCUGUGGCUUCCCAGUGGGAGAGAACUGG